UACGUAGGGUGCAAGCGUUAAUCGGAAUUACUGGGCGUAAAGCGUGCGCAGGCGAUUAUGUAAGACAGAUGUGAAAUCCCCGGGCUCAACCUGGGAACUGCAUUUGUGACUGCAUAGCUAGAGUACGGUAGAGGGGGAUGGAAUUCCGCGUGUAGCAGUGAAAUGCGUAGAUAUGCGGAGGAACACCGAUGGCGAAGGCAAUCCCCUGGACCUGUACUGACGCUCAUGCACGAAAGCGUGGGGAGCAAACAGG
This 253-nucleotide ribosomal RNA is filed under the name uncultured bacterium. Its description in RNAcentral is "partial 16S ribosomal RNA". It matches the Rfam family "Bacterial small subunit ribosomal RNA", at positions 524 to 776 of the family's 1533-position model. The record is from RNAcentral.